Molecule: transfer RNA, 63 nt
Filed under: Cucujoidea sp. 32 KM-2017
Lineage: Eukaryota; Metazoa; Arthropoda; Insecta; Coleoptera
Description: tRNA-Ala
Source: RNAcentral
AGGAUAAUAGUUAAUAAUAACAUUUAAUUUGCAUUUAAAAAUUACUAUUUUAUAGUUUAUCUU